AUUGAACGCUAGCGGGAUGCUUUACACAUGCAAGUCGAACGAGUGGCGGACGGGUGAGUAAUAUAUCUGAACGUGCACAGUAGCGGGGGAUAACUACUCGAAAGAGUUGCUACAACCGCAUACUAUUGGAGCGGCCGAUAUCGGAUUAGCUAGUUGGUGGGGUAAAGGCUCACCAAGGCAACGACCCGUAGCUGGUUUGAGAGGACGACCAGCCACACUGGGACGGAGACACGGCCCAGACUCCUACGGGAGGCAGUAGUGGGGAAUUUUGGACAAUGGGGGAAACCCUGAUCAAGCCAUCCCGCGUGUAUGAGAAGGCCUUCGGGUUGUAAAGUACUUUUGGCAGAGAAGCGGUAUCUGAAGAAUAAGCACCGGCUAACUACGUGCCAGCAGCCGCGGUAAUUC
This 405-nucleotide ribosomal RNA is filed under the name uncultured bacterium. RNAcentral describes it as "partial 16S ribosomal RNA". It matches the Rfam family "Bacterial small subunit ribosomal RNA", at positions 30 to 526 of the family's 1533-position model. The record is from RNAcentral.